UACGGAGGGUGCAAGCGUUAAUCGGAAUUACUGGGCGUAAAGCGCACGCAGGCGGUCUGUCAAGUCGGAUGUGAAAUCCCCGGGCUCAACCUGGGAACUGCAUCCGAAACUGGCAGGCUAGAGUCUUGUAGAGGGGGGUAGAAUUCCAGGUGUAGCGGUGAAAUGCGUAGAGAUCUGGAGGAAUACCGGUGGCGAAGGCGGCCCCCUGGACAAAGACUGACGCUCAGGUGCGAAAGCGUGGGGAGCAAACAGGAUUAGAUACCCUGGUAGUCCACGCCGUAAACGGUGGCGACUUGGGGGUUGGGGCCUUGAGGCGUGGCUUCCGGAGCUAACGCGUUAAGUCGACCGCCUGGGGAGUACGGCCGCAAGGUUAAA
This 375-nucleotide ribosomal RNA is filed under the name uncultured bacterium. RNAcentral's name for it is "bacterial SSU rRNA". It matches the Rfam family "Bacterial small subunit ribosomal RNA", at positions 524 to 898 of the family's 1533-position model. The record is from RNAcentral.